GAUGAACGCUAGCGAUAGGCCUAACACAUGCAAGUCGAGGGGCAGCACAUGAGUAGCAAUACGAUGGUGGCGACCGGCGCACGGGUGAGUAACACGUAUGCAACCUACCUUUAACAGGGGAAUAACCCGUUGAAACACGGACUAAUACUCCAUAACACAGGGGUCCCGCAUGGGAAUAUUUGUUAAAGAUUUAUCGGUUGAAGAUGGGCAUUCGUUCCAUUAGCUUGUUGGUGAGGUAACGGCUCACCAAGGCCACGAUGGAUAGGGGAACUGAGAGGUUUAUCCCCCACACUGGAACUGAGACACGGUCCAGACUCCUACGGGAGGCAGCAGUGAGGAAUAUUGGUCGAUGGAGGCAACUCUGAACCAGCCAAGUCGCGUGAAGGAUGAAGGUCUUAUGGAUUGUAAACUUCUUUUGCGAGGGAAUAAAGUGGGGGACGUGUCCUCCUUUGCAUGUACCUUGCGAAUAAGGAUCGGCUAACUCCGUGCCAGCCGCCGCCGUAA
RNAcentral lists this ribosomal RNA (504 nucleotides) under uncultured bacterium. RNAcentral's name for it is "partial 16S ribosomal RNA". It matches the Rfam family "Bacterial small subunit ribosomal RNA", at positions 28 to 523 of the family's 1533-position model. The record is from RNAcentral.